UACAGAGGUCUCAAACGUUGUUCGGAUUCAUUGGGCGUAAAGGGUGCGUAGGUGGCGAGGUUAGUCAGGUGUGAAAUCUCGGGGCUCAACCCCGAAACUGCACUUGAUACUGCCUUGCUAGAGUACUGGAGAGGAGAUUGGAAUUUACGGUGUAGCAGUGAAAUGCGUAGAUAUCGUAAGGAAGACCAGUGGCGAAGGCGAAUCUCUGGACAGUUACUGACACUGAGGCACGAAGGCCAGGGGAGCAAACGGG
This 253-nucleotide ribosomal RNA is filed under the name uncultured bacterium. RNAcentral's name for it is "partial 16S ribosomal RNA". It matches the Rfam family "Bacterial small subunit ribosomal RNA", at positions 524 to 776 of the family's 1533-position model. The record is from RNAcentral.